RNAcentral lists this unclassified non-coding RNA (220 nucleotides) under plant metagenome. RNAcentral's name for it is "partial contains small subunit ribosomal RNA, internal transcribed spacer 1, and 5.8S ribosomal RNA". The record is from RNAcentral.
UUUCCGUAGGUGAACCUGCGGAAGGAUCAUUACAGAGUUCAUGCCCUCACGGGUAGAUCUCCCACCCUUGACUAUUUAUACCUUAGUUGCUUUGGCAGGCCGUGGAAACACCAUGGGCUCCGGCUUAUGCGUGCCUGCCAGAGGAAACAAACUCUGUCUUUAGUGAUGUCUGAGUACUAUAUAAUAGUUAAAACUUUCAACAACGGAUCUCUUGGUUCUG